UACGUAGGGUGCGAGCGUUGUCCGGAAUUACUGGGCGUAAAGAGCUCGUAGGCGGUUUGUCGCGUCGUCCGUGAAAACUUGGGGCUCAACCCCAAGCUUGCGGGCGAUACGGGCAGACUUGAGUACUGCAGGGGAGACUGGAAUUCCUGGUGUAGCGGUGAAAUGCGCAGAUAUCAGGAGGAACACCGGUGGCGAAGGCGGGUCUCUGGGCAGUAACUGACGCUGAGGAGCGAAAGCUAGGGGAGCAAACAGG
Molecule: ribosomal RNA, 253 nt
Filed under: uncultured bacterium
Lineage: Bacteria
Description: partial 16S ribosomal RNA
Rfam family: Bacterial small subunit ribosomal RNA
Source: RNAcentral